CACGUUUUCUUCCUCGGGCAAUGCCUGAAAAAAAGUGGUUAAUUUCUAUCUGUUUGCUCCUUUUGAAUCUGAUCUUGUAUUACAGAGCUGAGCAGAGCGAUUUACAGGCUGUCGGGUUGGCUUUGUUCCCGUGUAAGUCAAGUCUCGAUGGAGAAGAGACGCAUCAGUGCUCCAAAUGGCCCCAGCCGUCUCAUUGCAUUAUCUUCAAAUGGCACGUCUGAUGGAGAAGUUAGAGAACAGCUCUCCUUGCUUCUUUCAUUUAGAUUUGCCUCCCUUAUUAACAUGUAACGCACCUAGAUUGUCCUGUGUAUCUUUGUGUUAACCAAAAUUUAACAUGUAUACUUAAGUACAAGACCCUG
Cyprinus carpio carpio is the source of this 359-nucleotide long non-coding RNA. NCBI's taxonomy places the organism in Eukaryota, Metazoa, Chordata, Actinopteri, Cypriniformes, Cyprinidae. The record is from Ensembl.